This is a long non-coding RNA of Capra hircus (goat), 1819 nucleotides long. RefSeq lists it as uncharacterized. NCBI's taxonomy places the organism in Eukaryota, Metazoa, Chordata, Mammalia, Artiodactyla, Bovidae. The record is from RefSeq and is a predicted model, not a curated record. The transcript is spliced from 6 exons.
CCCUGCAGUGUUCAGUCCUGUCCCUGACAGCAGUCUGCACUAGCUACUCUUUCUGCCCUCCUUCCCCCUAGGCACACAGUAGGGCUGUCAGCAUUAGGAGGGGAGGCCUGGGGGUGGGAUCUGAGAGGUGGGCUGCCCCUCAACCUGGGAACCUGGGGGGUAUUUUCUCUUCUCCCUUCGCAGGAGGCUGGCAGGUUGGAUGGCGGCUUUCUCCAGGAAGGGAGUAGAUGCCUGGCCCAGGAUCGAAUCAAAAGGUCUGAAAAAUGAUUGCUUUUUAUCCCCUGAUUGGUACAUGUGAACAAUAUGUAAACGUGUAGAGUCCUCAGGAUGGAUCUAACCUGAGCUCUUUGUCCUGCAGCUGUGGCUCACUGCCCCCGGCGGGCAGUGAGUCAGUGGGCUCCCAAGGCCAAGGAGAGGCCUAGCCCUGGCCCGCCAGGAUGGCAGCCCCACCCAGGGGAGUGUGAGGCUCUUCUAGGCUGACCUCAAAGACACCUCUCUCCCCAGAAUCCAGAGGGACACCUGGAGGGAUAAACAGGUCAGCCGUGGGUCCAGAGGCCCUUUCCUUGAGUCAACCCUGUAACUUUUAUUGGCCCAGUGGGACUCACGCAGCCUUCUGGAGGAAAGAGCAUCUUCACAUGGAAUUACCCUGGCCCGGAGGCAGACGCAGUGACCUCGGCUCCCGUGUUGCCUAGAUCUGACCUCCCCUAGUUGAAAACCGCCUCGUGUUCCCCUGGGCCGAGGGGCAGCUUCAGAGGACUGGCUGAGUGCUCUGCGGCACUGGGACCGUUGUGAAGAUCCGAUGGGACAUUGGACGCCAAGGCAUGCUGCGGACACUACACUCCAGGGCAGGAGCGUGGAGGCCCCAGAGUGGGUCUGAUGACACUGUUGAUGAAGACCUUGGCUGUGACCUCUGUGGGAAAUGAGCCAUGGACCAGCCAAUAUUCAACACACCUAACCUGGUUUAUUCAUUACCAGUGCUGACGAUCUUGUCUGUCACUUCUGUGGAUAGAAAGCAAAGGGACUCAUGUAAGUAACAACGUUUGUGUUCUUGGUUUGAAGGUAAUUCAUGUGGUCCAUGGCACUGUUUCAAAGGAAUGAGUGGCUACUGCAGACAAAGUCAGAGGAAGCCACCUGUGGACCACUGCUGAGACUGUGUCAGGAACCAUGGAUUAAGAGCGAUCUCUGUUAGUGCAACAGAGAGCCGUUAAAAACAAAGUUCGAAGGUUUCGCCUUCAUUUUUGCAGUUGCUUCAUAUUCCAUUUUAUUUUUGUACCACAUUGUAGGAGUAUUUCUCAGUUGAUGACAGUCUAGGUUGUUAAAUCCUGGAGGAGGGAGCGCCUAGCAAGAGAGAAACUAUCGUCAGUCCUCUAGUUGUGGGGUAAGAUAGUAAGUUCAUUGUACUACUUCUAAAAUAUGAAGAAAUUACAUGAAAGCUGAGCAAGUAGAGAGUAGUAAACCACAUGGGAAGGGUAUGAAGCACGGUUAUUGAUUAAUCUAUAUUGAAACAUUUGAGAUUCAAUGAAAAAUAGACCUCAUUUGUUAACUGUGCAAAAUAAAUAGUUGUAAACAGCUCUCUGCAAUAUUCAAAGAUCUUGCUCUUGGGUUUUUGUGAUUCAUAGAACUCAAUUUUUUAAAAACAUCAAUGAAACCAUGAAUGAAAUGAUAAAUAAUGUGCAUAAACAAUCCAUAAACAAUUAUAAGUAAUAAAUAAAGAGUAUUGAAGUAAAUAAAAAAAAGAGUAUUGAGCUUGGAUCGGUGAUGAGAGUUCUGGGGUAUAUGAAUCAAGAAUUUUGAAUAAACCCUAACUCAGGUCUGGAGA